RNAcentral lists this long non-coding RNA (590 nucleotides) under Equus caballus (horse). RNAcentral's name for it is "lncRNA (ENSECAG00000045657.1)". Lineage: Eukaryota; Metazoa; Chordata; Mammalia; Perissodactyla; Equidae. The record is from RNAcentral.
CCUGAAGCCCACCACCUGGGAUUUUCUUUUUCAUCAGAUUCCUUUUUGUUGAAGCCACUUUGAGUUCUGUUUCUGCUGCCAGGAAAUGACCCACAGGAGUUCCUCUCUGGGCUUCCGCUUGCCCAUAUGUAAAAGAAAAAGUUCAGAGCACUGGUUGGGUCCCUACCUCAUGGGUUGAGCAGUCCUGCUUAGCAGAGCUCUGGGCCAGUGAUACUGAGCUCCUGCUGUGUACUCAGUAUUUGGGGCUCCUCUGAGCGGCAGUCCCUCAGCUGCUCCCCACAGCUCCAGGAGUUCAGACUGUGGUAGUCUCCGUUUCACAGCUUCGUUCAUUCAUUGAUUCGGAAGGUCAGCGUUGAGCACCUACUGUAUACCAAGCCCAGUCCCACACAGAUAAACCUGGGAGAGUGACAAGUGAAAGCGUGAAGAACAGUGGGUGAGGGAGGGCUUCCUGGAAGAGGUGGUGCUCGGGCCAAGACUGUGAAGAGAGGCAGGGGGCGCUGUCAUGGAGCCGGAGAGCCGGGCCUGGCGUGAGCUGUUCACAGAUGCUUCCUGCUGCGGCUCAGCCUGCGCGGGUGCCGCAGCCCGGGUGG